GUCGCCCUACGGUGUACGUGAUCGCCGGCUUUGCGUUUUGAGCCAACAAACAAUUAAUCGGGGGCUGACUCUUCAGAGGGGAAUGCGAUAGGCUUCGGCCAAGGCAAACCACUGAGCAGGCUCCCACCUGCGAGAGCAGGUUCAAAACUCAUCGGCACACGGCAUUGUGGGGCGCCU
This 177-nucleotide non-coding RNA is filed under the name Anaerolineae bacterium. Its description in RNAcentral is "6S RNA". It matches the Rfam family "6S / SsrS RNA". From Rfam's summary of the family: E. coli 6S RNA was the first non coding RNA to be sequenced, but its function was unknown until recently. It consists of 184 nucleotides that fold into an extended hairpin structure with a large single-stranded internal bulge. Lineage: Bacteria; Bacillati; Chloroflexota; Anaerolineae. The record is from RNAcentral.